Molecule: ribosomal RNA, 687 nt
Filed under: uncultured marine alpha proteobacterium
Lineage: Bacteria; Pseudomonadati; Pseudomonadota; Alphaproteobacteria
Description: bacterial SSU rRNA
Rfam family: Bacterial small subunit ribosomal RNA
Source: RNAcentral
UUUUCAGUGUCGCAGCGAAAGCGAUAAACACACCGCCUGGGGAGUACGACCGCAAGGUUAAAACUCAAAUGAAUUGACGGGGACCCGCACAAGUAGUGGAGCAUGUGGUUUAAUUCGAAGAUACGCGCAGAACCUUACCAACACUUGACAUGUUCGUCGCGACUUUAAGAGAUUAAAGUUUUCGGUUCGGCCGGACGAAACACAGGUGCUGCAUGGCUGUCGUCAGCUCGUGUCGUGAGAUGUUGGGUUAAGUCCCGCAACGAGCGCAACCCUCACUUUUAGUUGCCAUCAUUAAGUUGGGCACUCUGAAAGAACUGCCAGUGAUAAGCUGGAGGAAGGUGGGGAUGACGUCAAGUCCUCAUGGCCCUUACGUGUUGGGCUACACACGUGCUACAAUGAUAUCUACAACAGGAAGCAAGACGGCGACGUUUAGCAAAUCCUUAAAAGAUAUCUCAGUUCGGAUUGCACUCUGCAACUCGAGUGCAUGAAGCUGGAAUUACUAGUAAUCGUGGAUCAGCGUGCCACGGUGAAUGCGUUCCCGGGUCUUGUACACACCGCCCGUCACACCAUGGGAGUUGGUUCUACCUUAAGGCAAGGCAUAAAACCCUUGACCACGGUAUAGUCAGCGACUGGGGUGAAGUCGUAACAAGGUAGCCGUAGGGGAACCUGCGGCUGGAUUACCUCCUU